GAUGAACGCUGGCGGCGUGCCUAAUACAUGCAAGUCGAGCGAAUGGAUUAAGAGCUUGCUCUUAUGAAGUUAGCGGCGGACGGGUGAGUAACACGUGGGUAACCUGCCCAUAAGACUGGGAUAACUCCGGGAAGCCGGGGCUAAUACCGGAUAACAUUUUGAACCGCAUGGUUCGAAAUUGAAAGGCGGCUUCGGCUGUCACUUAUGGAUGGACCCGCGUCGCAUUAGCUAGUUGGUGAGGUAACGGCUCACCAAGGCAACGAUGCGUAGCCGGCCUGAGAGGGUGAUCGGCGACACUGGGACUGAGACACGGCCCAGACUCCUACGGGAGGCGGCAGUAGGGAAGCUUCCGCAAUGGACGAAAGUCUGACAGAGCAACGCCGCGUGAGUGAUGAAGGCUUUCGGGUCGUAAAACUCUGUUGUUAGGGAAGAACAAGUGCUAGUUGAAUAAGCUGGCACCUUGACGGUACCUAACCAGAAAGCCACGGCUAACUACGUGCCAGCCGCCGCGGUAA
RNAcentral lists this ribosomal RNA (515 nucleotides) under uncultured bacterium. RNAcentral's name for it is "partial 16S ribosomal RNA". It matches the Rfam family "Bacterial small subunit ribosomal RNA", at positions 28 to 523 of the family's 1533-position model. The record is from RNAcentral.